UACGUAGGGGGCGAGCGUUGUCCCGGAUUUAUUGGGCGUAAAGAGCUCGUAGGCGGUUGGGUAAGUCGGGUGUGAAAACUCAGGGCUCAACUCUGAGACGCCACUCGAUACUGCUCUGACUCGAGUCCGGUAGGGGAGCGUGGAAUUCCCGGUGUAGCGGUGAAAUGCGCAGAGUAUCGGGAGGAACACCAGUGGCGAAGGCGGCGCUCGUGGGCCGGAACUGACGCUGAGGAGCGAAAGCGUGGGUAGCAAACAGG
RNAcentral lists this ribosomal RNA (257 nucleotides) under uncultured bacterium. RNAcentral's name for it is "partial 16S ribosomal RNA". It matches the Rfam family "Bacterial small subunit ribosomal RNA", at positions 524 to 776 of the family's 1533-position model. The record is from RNAcentral.